CAGCAGUGGACAGUGGACAGGCUAAU
Molecule: small RNA, 26 nt
Filed under: Bombyx mori (domestic silkworm)
Lineage: Eukaryota; Metazoa; Arthropoda; Insecta; Lepidoptera; Bombycidae
Description: ovarian small RNA-13192
Source: RNAcentral